This 839-nucleotide ribosomal RNA is filed under the name Leptogium teretiusculum. Its description in RNAcentral is "LSU rRNA". It matches the Rfam family "Eukaryotic large subunit ribosomal RNA", at positions 84 to 933 of the family's 3401-position model. The record is from RNAcentral. Lineage: Eukaryota; Fungi; Ascomycota; Lecanoromycetes; Peltigerales; Collemataceae.
UAACGGCGAGUGAAGCGGCAACAGCUCAAAUUUGAAAUCCGGCCCCCGCGCGGGGGCCCGAGUUGUAAUUUGCAGAGGGUGCUUCGGGCGCGGCGCCGGUCCAAGUUCCUUGGAACAGGACGUCCGAGAGGGUGAGAAUCCCGUCUGCGGCCGGCCGCCCACCCCGGGUGAAGCCCCUUCGACGAGUCGAGUUGUUUGGGAAUGCAGCUCCAAAUGGGUGGUAAAUUUCAUCUAAAGCUAAAUACCGGCCAGAGACCGAUAGCGCACAAGUAGAGUGAUCGAAAGAUGAAAAGCACUUUGGAAAGAGAGUUAAACAGCACGUGAAAUUGUUGAAAGGGAAGCGCUUGCCGCCAGACCUGCCCGCGGGCGUUCACCCGGCCACGCUGUGGCCGGGGCACUCGCCCGCGAUCAGGCCAGCACGGGUUCGGGCGGCGGGAGAAAGGGCCCGGGAAUGUAGCUCCCUCCGGGGUGCCUUAUAGCCCGGGUCGCCAUGCCGCCCGCCCGGACCGAGGACCGCGCUUCGGCCAGGGUGCUGGCGUAAUGGCGGCAAGCGACCCGUCUUGAAACACGGACCAAGGAGUCUAACAUCCACGCGAGUGUUUGGGUGUCAAACCCGGGCGCGGAAUGAACGUGAACGGAGGUGGGACCCCCGCGAGGGGCGCACCAUCGACCGAUCCAGAUGUCUUCGGAUGGAUUUGAGUACGAGCGUGGCUGUUGGGACCCGAAAGAUGGUGAACUAUGCCUGGAUAGGGUGAAGCCAGAGGAAACUCUGGUGGAGGCUCGCAGCGGUUCUGACGUGCAAAUCGAUCGUCAAAUUUGGGCAUAGGGGCGAAAGACUA